RNAcentral lists this ribosomal RNA (456 nucleotides) under uncultured bacterium. Its description in RNAcentral is "partial 16S ribosomal RNA". It matches the Rfam family "Bacterial small subunit ribosomal RNA", at positions 28 to 523 of the family's 1533-position model. The record is from RNAcentral.
GAUGAACGCUGGCGGCGUGCCUAAUACAUGCAAGUCGUACGGAAAGGCCCUUCGGGGUACUCGAGUGGCGGACGGCUGAGUAACGCGUGGGAACGUGCCCCAAAGUGAGGGAUAACGCACCGAAAGGUGUGCUAAUACCGCAUAUGGUCUUCGGAUUAAAGCUUCGGCGCUUUGGGAGCGGCCCGCGUACGAUUAGAUAGUUGGUGUGGUAAUGGCUCACCAAGUCGACGAUCGUUAGCUGGUCUGAGAGGAUGAUCAGCCAGACUGGGACUGAGACACGGCCCAGACUCCUACGGGAGGCAGCAGUAGGAAUCUUCCACAAUGGGGGCAACCCUGAUGGAGCAACGCCGCGUGCAGGAUGAAGGUUUUCGGAUCGUAAACUGCUUUUAUAAGUGAAGAAUAUGACGGUAACUUAUGAAUAAGGAUCGGCUAACUACGUGCCAGCAGCCGCCGUAA